This 253-nucleotide ribosomal RNA is filed under the name uncultured bacterium. Its description in RNAcentral is "partial 16S ribosomal RNA". It matches the Rfam family "Bacterial small subunit ribosomal RNA", at positions 524 to 776 of the family's 1533-position model. The record is from RNAcentral.
UACGUAGGUGGCAAGCGUUGUCCGGAAUUAUUGGGCGUAAAGCGCGCGCAGGCGGUCCUUUAAGUCUGAUGUGAAAGCCCACGGCUCAACCGUGGAGGGUCAUUGGAAACUGGGGGACUUGAGUACAGAAGAGAAGAGUGGAAUUCCACGUGUAGCGGUGAAAUGCGUAGAGAUGUGGAGGAACACCGGUGGCGAAGGCGGCAUCCUGGACCGAUACUGACGCUGAGGAGCGAAAGCCAGGGGAGCAAACGGG